Molecule: long non-coding RNA, 609 nt
Organism: Cervus elaphus (red deer)
Lineage: Eukaryota; Metazoa; Chordata; Mammalia; Artiodactyla; Cervidae
Exons: 4
Source: RefSeq, a predicted model, not a curated record
UGCGGGACCGCCUCUUAAAAGGGUAACAGGAGGGGAAGGCUUUAGACGAGGAUCGGAAAAAUGGACAGGUGAACUGUGGAAUCAGCGCGAACAGAAACGCUCGCUGCUAAUGAACUUUCAUAAACAUGGAGUGGAUUAGAAUGAGGAACUGGACUCUUGGGACUCCCACGUGACAAAAUGAAAGUCCCCUCUCUCAGAUUAUCUAAAACACCAAACUGGUUCUCCAAGCCCUGCUGAAAUAUGCUAUCAACCAGUUCAGCCGGAAGUGCUUCUCUGAACAUCCAUGAAGUUCUCUUACAAGACAAAAUGUUGUGCAUGUGCUGACACGGCAGCAGCUAGUAUCAUAUCCUCGGGAAAACAACAACCCUGGAAGUCAUUUGUUCCUGUUGGAGCUGCAGCAGGAUGGAAGCAGGUUGCAUUCCUGAAUCACUGCUGGGGAGAAAGCUAAUAACUGAUUGCAUCAGACUUGACUUGAGCAAGAAACAAACUUUUACUGUGUUAAGUCACUGAGACUUUGGAAUUGCUUUGUACUGCAGCACAGUCUAACCUAUCUUGUAAUAUAGUGUGUCAUUCCUUUCUCUGAACAUAAUAUCUGAAAUCCAGAUUACC